UAGGGAAUCUUCGGCAAUGGACGAAAGUCUGACCGAGCAACGCCGCGUGAGUGAAGAAGGUCUUCGGAUCGUAAAACUCUGUUGUUAGAGAAGAACAAGGACGUUAGUAACUGAACGUCCCCUGACGGUAUCUAACCAGAAAGCCACGGCUAACUACGUGCCAGCAGCCGCGGUAAUACGUAGGUGGCAAGCGUUGUCCGGAUUUAUUGGGCGUAAAGCGAGCGCAGGCGGUUUCUUAAGUCUGAUGUGAAAGCCCCCGGCUCAACCGGGGAGGGUCAUUGGAAACUGGGAGACUUGAGUGCAGAAGUGGAGAGUGGAAUUCCAUGUGUAGCGGUGAAAUGCGUAGAUAUAUGGAGGGACACCAGUGGCGAAGGCGGCUCUCUGGUCUGUAACUGACGCUGAGGCUCGAAAGCGUGGGGAGCAAACAGG
This 429-nucleotide ribosomal RNA is filed under the name Gemmatimonadota bacterium. RNAcentral describes it as "Gemmatimonadetes bacterium partial 16S ribosomal RNA". It matches the Rfam family "Bacterial small subunit ribosomal RNA", at positions 355 to 776 of the family's 1533-position model. Lineage: Bacteria; Pseudomonadati; Gemmatimonadota. The record is from RNAcentral.